Molecule: ribosomal RNA, 207 nt
Filed under: uncultured bacterium
Lineage: Bacteria
Description: partial 16S ribosomal RNA
Rfam family: Bacterial small subunit ribosomal RNA
Source: RNAcentral
CGCGUAGGCGGUUUUGUCGGUCAGAUGUGAAAGCCCGGGGCUCAACCCUGGAAGUGCAUUUGAAACAGCAAGACUUGAGUACGGGAGAGGAAAGCGGAAUUCCUGGUGUAGAGGUGAAAUUCGUAGAUAUCAGGAGGAACACCGAUGGCGAAGGCAGCUUUCUGGACCGAUACUGACGCUGAGGCGCGAAGGUGUGGGUAGCGAACG